AUGCUGCUCCAGCGCGCGCGGAGAUAUGACGUACACCCCAUCAUCUAUGGGGUACUGUUGACCAACAGACGGGGAGAAGCUCUAGGCCUUUACAAGCAUGUCCAAAUGGCACUUCCAGUUCCAGACAGAACGAUCAAUGUUGUGGACCACCAGUUGUUAUCAGAGGACAAAGAUGGAGUAGAAGCAAACACCUCAAACCCUGGCAGGAAAAGAGAUAUAUCAAUUGCUUGCAGCCUUGCACCACUUCAAUUCAGCACAUUGGAGUUUCAUGCUCAAAGGAAACUCCAAUAA
Molecule: ribosomal RNA, 291 nt
Filed under: Triticum aestivum (bread wheat)
Lineage: Eukaryota; Viridiplantae; Streptophyta; Magnoliopsida; Poales; Poaceae
Description: partial small subunit ribosomal RNA
Source: RNAcentral